AGCUCUAAUAGCGUAUAUUAAAUUUGUUGCGGUUGAAAAGCUCGUAGUUGAAUCUUACGAGGUGUUUUGUGGAUCAGGUCCGCCCAUUGGGUGUGUACUUGUCUGCCCCUCGUAUUCUUUACUGCCGGUAUGUUCGCCCAGGCUCUUCACUGAGCAGGGGAGUAUCAGAGCUCCGGCUCGUUUACUUUGAGUAAAUUAGAGUGUUCAAAGCAGGCACAAGUAGUCAGCCACUGAAUACUUCAGCAUGGGAUAAUGGAAUAGGACUUUGGUUCUAUUUUGUUGGUUUCUAGGACCGAAGUAAUGAUUAAUAGGGACAGUUGGGGGCAUUCGUAUUUGCCAGUCAGAGGUGAAAUUCUUGGAUUUGGUAAAGACGAACUAGUGCGAAAGCAUUUGCCAAGGA
Molecule: ribosomal RNA, 400 nt
Filed under: phytoplankton environmental sample
Lineage: Eukaryota
Description: partial small subunit ribosomal RNA
Rfam family: Eukaryotic small subunit ribosomal RNA
Source: RNAcentral